This 446-nucleotide ribosomal RNA is filed under the name uncultured bacterium. RNAcentral's name for it is "partial 16S ribosomal RNA". It matches the Rfam family "Bacterial small subunit ribosomal RNA", at positions 338 to 795 of the family's 1533-position model. The record is from RNAcentral.
CCUACGGGUGGCAGCAGUCGAGAAUCAUUCACAAUGAGGGAAACCCUGAUGGUGCGACGCCGCGUGGGGGAAUGAAGGUCUUCGGAUUGUAAACCCCUGUCAUGUGGGAGCAAAUUAAAAAGAUAGUACCACAAGAGGAAGAGACGGCUAACUCUGUGCCAGCAGCCGCGGUAAUACAGAGGUCUCAAGCGUUGUUCGGAAUCACUGGGCGUAAAGCGUGCGUAGGCUGUUUCGUAAGUCGUGUGUGAAAGGCGCGGGCUCAACCCGCGGACGGCACAUGAUACUGCGAGACUAGAGUAAGGGAGGGGGAACCGGAAUUCUCGGUGGAGCAGUGAAAUGCGUAGAUAUCGAGAGGAACACUCGUGGCGAAGGCGGGUUCCUGGACAUUAACUGACGCUGAGGCACGAAGGCCAGGGGAGCGAAAGGGAUUAGAUACCCCAGUAGUC